GACGAACGCUGGCGGCGUGCCUAAUACAUGCAAGUCGAGCGGACUGAAUGGGAGCUUGCUCUUGUUCGGUCAGCGGCGGACGGGUGAGUAACACGUGGGCAACCUGCCCGCAAGACCGGGAUAACUCCGGGAAACCGGAGCUAAUACCGGAUAACACCGAAGACCGCAUGGUCUUUGGUUGAAAGGCGGCGCAAGCUGCCACUUGCGGAUGGGCCCGCGGCGCAUUAGCUAGUUGGUGAGGUAACGGCUCACCAAGGCGACGAUGCGUAGCCGGCCGGAGGGGGGGGGCAGGCGGCCGUGGAGGGGGAAAAGGCGCAGGGGGCCGGGGGGGGGGGCCAGAGGGGAAUGGGCGGAAUUGGGGGGGGCCUGGCGGGGAGGGGGCGGGGGGGGAGGGAAGGGCGUGGGGUCGGGGAGGACGGUUGUGGGGGGCGAAAGAGAGGCGGAUGGAGAAGUAGGCGGGGUGACGGUACCUGACGAGGAAGCAACGGCUAACUACGUG
RNAcentral lists this ribosomal RNA (499 nucleotides) under uncultured bacterium. RNAcentral describes it as "partial 16S ribosomal RNA". The stretch from base 20 to 343 matches the Rfam family "Bacterial small subunit ribosomal RNA", at positions 47 to 358 of the family's 1533-position model. The record is from RNAcentral.